Molecule: small nuclear RNA, 107 nt
Filed under: Mus spicilegus (steppe mouse)
Lineage: Eukaryota; Metazoa; Chordata; Mammalia; Rodentia; Muridae
Source: RNAcentral
GUGCUCACUUCAGCAGCACAUAUACUAAAAUUGGAACGAUACAGAGAAGAUUAGCAUGGCCCCUGCACAAGGAUGACACACAAAUUCGUGAAACGUUCCAUAUUUUU